CGCGUCGAGGCUCCUGUUCCUUGGAGUCUGAGUUUUAGAAGAGAAAGGAUCGAGAAUACCGUGGCUUUUCUCUUUUUGGGGAGUCUACCCUUCUACUUGCUAUAGAAGAAAAAGGAUGAAAAGCAGGACCCUUUAUUGCUUUUUUAUAUGCUCUAUAUACUUCUGUAUACUCUAGGCUGCCCGGCUUUACAGAAACACGGCUUGGAUAAAUCUCUCAGCUCUCUGCUUUGGCCCUGAUUUAGCCCAUCUUUCACUCACUUGUUUCCUUCUGGAGGGCUUCAGUGUACUUCUGAACCUAAUGUACUCACUUGGGUACACUAGUUACAGCUCUUUCAAGGGAGCCAUCUCCCUGCAAUUCAGUACUAUUGAGAACUAAAAUAUUUAUCCCCUUAAGUCUCUGAUUCCAAAGAUACUUUUUUGCUUAUACCACUUGGACCCAUUCUUUAUUAUGUAAUUUUCAGCCAAGCAACAACUUUAACAGAAUCUCCAUUUUAUAUUUGAUUAAAUAAACCCCAAUGAUCCUUUUUUCUAAUUUUCCAUUUUUAUAAAAAUUAUUCUCUGACAAGGAUAGAACUGAGAGAGGGAGAAAGGUAUUUUGAAACGUUCUCUUAUACAAAAUCCUAAAUCAAAAUUAUAUUUACAGUAUGUUAUAAAUGGUCUGAGCUUUUUAAGAUUAUUUGUGACCACAGAUAAAAAAAUCACAUAGGCAUUUAACAUGAUUGAAAUAGUGACCUGUAAUCCUAUAUCCAGACUCCUUACACUACUGUAUAAAACUGGGAAACCCUAAAAUGAAAACAUGCAGUCUGCAGAUGCCUGCUUGUUUUUUGAACCUUGGACAAAUCUUUGUCAAUUUUGGACUGUUUUCAUAUAUGGCUAAAAGUCACAGGCUUCUUCUCUGUCUUCAUUGCUUGAUCUGUCCUAUGUGCUGACACCAUGAAGAAAGAAAAUCAGCAGGUUUUGCUCCUCUGAGGGGAGCUAUCUCAUGAUACAUGUACCGAGCCCUUUACUCCUCACAUCAGUGCUAAUUGCUGUAUUUGCAUCUCACUACAGCUGGCGGGAACAAAGACCGGGUUUGGAAGCAAAGUAGUUGAUCCAUACUUAGGAUUAAAGAUCUUAAAGUACUGGUUUAAACUCCUGCUGCCCCAAGAGCUUCCUGGAGGACACUCACUUUCUUAAAGGAACAGGGAUUCAAGUUUAUCUCCUACUUACCAGGGCGCCUGACCAAUCCUGUAAGAAUUUUCCUGUGACCUUUCCUUAGUUGCUGAACAUAAAUGUUUAGUACGGUUAUGAGGCUGCUUCAGUUUAUUCAUGGAUGCCGUGAGGCUCACUACUUCCUGACUGGGUAAGAAGAGGAAAAUGAACGAUAUUCAUCAUUUGAUGCAAUCAGUAGCAGAAGGAAAUAUGUACAAUAAAUGUGACAUUUC
Molecule: non-coding RNA, 1424 nt
Organism: Cyanistes caeruleus (blue tit)
Lineage: Eukaryota; Metazoa; Chordata; Aves; Passeriformes; Paridae
Source: RefSeq, a predicted model, not a curated record